Molecule: ribosomal RNA, 274 nt
Filed under: uncultured bacterium
Lineage: Bacteria
Description: partial 16S ribosomal RNA
Rfam family: Archaeal small subunit ribosomal RNA
Source: RNAcentral
AAACCAGCACCUCAAGUGGUCAGGAUGAUUAUUGGGCCUAAAGCAUCCGUAGCCUGUUCUGUAAGUUUCCGGGUAAAUCCAUUAGCUCAACUAAUGGGCCGCCGAAAAUACUGCAAAACUAGGGAGUGGGAGAGGUAGACGGUACUCGGUAGGAAGGGGUAAAAUCCUUUGAUCUAUUGAUGACCACCUGUGGCGAAGGCGGUCUGCCAGAACACGUUCGACGGUGAGGGAUGAAAGCUGGGGGAGCAAACCGGAUUAGAAACCCCAGUAGUCC